AAAUUGAAGAGUUUGAUCAUGGCUCAGAUUGAACGCUGGCGGCAGGCCUAACACAUGCAAGUCGAACGGUAACAGGGAUCAGCUUGCUGAUUCGCUGACGAGUGGCGGACGGGUGAGUAAUGUCUGGGAAACUGCCUGAUGGAGGGGGGUAACUACUGGAAACGGUAGCUAAU
RNAcentral lists this ribosomal RNA (173 nucleotides) under Streptomyces sp. WAC07061. RNAcentral describes it as "partial 16S ribosomal RNA". It matches the Rfam family "Bacterial small subunit ribosomal RNA", at positions 1 to 167 of the family's 1533-position model. The record is from RNAcentral. Lineage: Bacteria; Bacillati; Actinomycetota; Actinomycetes; Kitasatosporales; Streptomycetaceae.